This 253-nucleotide ribosomal RNA is filed under the name uncultured bacterium. RNAcentral describes it as "partial 16S ribosomal RNA". It matches the Rfam family "Bacterial small subunit ribosomal RNA", at positions 524 to 776 of the family's 1533-position model. The record is from RNAcentral.
UACGUAGGGCGCAAGCGUUGUCCGGAAUUAUUGGGCGUAAAGAGCUCGUAGGCGGUCUGUCACGUCUGCUGUGAAAACCCGGGGCUUAACCCCGGGCUUGCAGUGGAUACGGGCAGACUAGAGGCAGGUAGGGGAGAAUGGAAUUCCCGGUGUAGCGGUGAAAUGCGCAGAUAUCGGGAGGAACACCGGUGGCGAAGGCGGUUCUCUGGGCCUGACCUGACGCUGAGGAGCGAAAGUGUGGGGAGCGAACAGG